Long non-coding RNA from Folsomia candida, 328 nucleotides. RefSeq lists it as uncharacterized. The record is from RefSeq and is a predicted model, not a curated record. The transcript is spliced from 2 exons. NCBI's taxonomy places the organism in Eukaryota, Metazoa, Arthropoda, Collembola, Entomobryomorpha, Isotomidae.
GCUGUAAUUUUUAUAGCACGUGGUUAUCACACUUAAUGAAUCGAAAGUUAUUCAAAUAAACCACACUUCAUUUUCUUUUGCUGUGUAUGAAUCUAAUUAGUACUCGAAUAUGUAUGUGUGCUAAUGAUGGGGGUGGUCAAUUGAUACAUAGGUAUAUUAUUGAUCAUGAUACAUAAUACCCUUGCCAGAACAAAUCUAAUUGUAUUCUUAAUCGUUUAAUUUGUUGUGUCUGUUUUUUAUUGCCAGACAAACCCAACACCCUGAUUUUAUUGUGUAUGGUUGGUAAUUGUAUAAAUAAAGUACUUGUCCAUCAUAAAUAAAUCAGAAA